AGAAAUUUAGGAUAAUAAAACCAAGGGCCUUCAAAGCCCUAAACAGAGGACAACCCUCUAAUUUCUG
Molecule: transfer RNA, 67 nt
Filed under: Phelsuma rosagularis
Lineage: Eukaryota; Metazoa; Chordata; Lepidosauria; Squamata; Gekkonidae
Description: tRNA-Trp
Source: RNAcentral